Non-coding RNA from Phrynosoma platyrhinos (Desert horned lizard), 72 nucleotides. The record is from the annotation of a GenBank genome assembly. Lineage: Eukaryota; Metazoa; Chordata; Lepidosauria; Squamata; Phrynosomatidae.
GCCAGUGUGGUGUAGUGGUUUGAGUGUUGGAUUAAGACUCUAGAGACCAGGGUUCGAAUGCCAGUUCAGCCA